Molecule: ribosomal RNA, 719 nt
Filed under: uncultured bacterium
Lineage: Bacteria
Description: bacterial SSU rRNA
Rfam family: Bacterial small subunit ribosomal RNA
Source: RNAcentral
AGAGUUUGAUCAUGGCUCAGAUUGAACGCUGGCGGCAUGCUUUACACAUGCAAGUCGAACGGCAGCACGGGGGCAACCCUGGUGGCGAGUGGCGAACGGGUGAGUAAUAUAUCGGAACAUGUCCGGAAGUGGGGGAUAACGUACCGAAAGGUACGCUAAUACCGCAUAUGCCCUGAGGGGGAAAGGGGGGGAUCGCAAGACCUCUCGCUUUCGGAGUGGCCGAUAUCGGAUUAGCUAGUAGGUGAGGUAAAGGCUCACCUAGGCGACGAUCCGUAGCUGGUCUGAGAGGACGACCAGCCACACUGGAACUGAGACACGGUCCAGACUCCUACGGGAGGCAGCAGUGGGGAAUUUUGGACAAUGGGCGAAAGCCUGAUCCAGCCAUGCCGCGUGAGUGAAGAAGGCCUUCGGGUUGUAAAGCUCUUUCAGACGGAAAGAAACGGUCACGGUUAAUAACUGUGGCUAAUGACGGUACCGUAAGAAGAAGCACCGGCUAACUACGUGCCAGCAGCCGCGGUAAUACGUAGGGUGCGAGCGUUAAUCGGAAUUACUGGGCGUAAAGCGUGCGCAGGCGGUUUUUUAAGCCAGAUGUGAAAUCCCCGGGCUUAACCUGGGAACUGCAUUUGGAACUGGAAGACUAGAGUGUAGCAGAGGGGGGUAGAAUUCCACGUGUAGCAGUGAAAUGCGUAGAUAUGUGGAGGAAUACCAAUGGCGAAGGC